This 77-nucleotide transfer RNA is filed under the name bacterium. RNAcentral's name for it is "tRNA-Arg". It matches the Rfam family "tRNA". Rfam says of the family: Transfer RNA (tRNA) molecules are approximately 80 nucleotides in length. Their secondary structure includes four short double-helical elements and three loops (D, anti-codon, and T loops). RNAcentral also lists the same sequence under 7 other names. The record is from RNAcentral.
GCGCCCUUAGCCCAGCUGGAUAGAGCAUCGGAUUUCUAAUCCGCAGGUCGCAGGUUCGAAUCCUGCAGGGCGCGCCA